GCACAGAUAUGCAAAGCAGAAACCCUCGUGCAGGCCCGAAAGAGAAAGCGAACCAGUAUCGAGAACCGAGUGAGAGGCAACCUGGAGAAUUUGUUCCUGCAGUGCCCGAAACCCACACUGCAGCAGAUCAGCCACAUCGCCCAGCAGCUUGGGCUCGAGAAGGAUGUGGUCCGAGUGUGGUUCUGUAACCGGCGCCAGAAGGGCAAGCGAUCAAGCAGCGACUAUGCACAACGAGAGGAUUUUGAGGCUGCUGGGUCUCCUUUCUCAGGGGGACCAGUGUCCUUUCCUCUGGCCCCAGGGCCCCAUUUUGGUACCCCAGGCUAUGGGAGCCCUCACUUCACUGCACUGUACUCCUCGGUCCCUUUCCCUGAGGGGGAAGCCUUUCCCCCUGUCUCUGUCACCACUCUGGGCUCUCCCAUGCAUUCAAACUGAGGUGCCUGCCCUUCUAGGAAUGGGGGACAGGGGGAGGGGAGGAGCUAGGGAAAGAAAACCUGGAGUUUGUGCCAGGGUUUUUGGGAUUAAGUUCUUCAUUCACUAAGGAAGGAAUUGGGAACACAAAGGGUGGGGGCAGGGGAGUUUGGGGCAACUGGUUGGAGGGAAGGUGAAGUUCAAUGAUGCUCUUGAUUUUAAUCCCACAUCAUGUAUCACUUUUUUCUUAAAUAAAGAAGCCUGGGACACAGUAGAUAGACACACUUA
This 696-nucleotide unclassified non-coding RNA is filed under the name Homo sapiens (human). RNAcentral describes it as "POU class 5 homeobox 1 (ENSG00000206454.12, ENSG00000237582.10)". The record is from RNAcentral. Lineage: Eukaryota; Metazoa; Chordata; Mammalia; Primates; Hominidae.